ACAAGCAGCGGAGCGUGUGGUUUAAUUCGUUGCUACACGAAGAACUUACCUGGGUUUGACAUAUAGGUUGUAGGGAACUGAAAAGGACGACCCUUCGGGGAGCCUAUACAGGUGUUGCAUGGCUGUCGUCAGCUCGUGUCGUGAGAUGUUCGGUUAAGUCCGCUAACGAGCGCAACCCUCGUCGUAUGUUAUAUGUGUCAUACGAGACUGCCGGUAAAAAGCCGGAGGAAGGUGAGGAUGAUGUCAAGUCAGCAUGACCUUUAUAUCCAGGGCUACACACACGCUACAAUGGUCUGUACAAUGGGUAGCCAAGCCGCGAGGCGGAGCCAAUCCUGAAAGCAGGCCUCAGUUCAGAUUGCAGUCUGCAACUCGACUGCAUGAAGCCGGAGUUGCUAGUAACCGCAGGUCAGCAAUACUGCGGUGAAUACGUUCCCGGGUCUU
Molecule: ribosomal RNA, 441 nt
Filed under: uncultured Anaerolineaceae bacterium
Lineage: Bacteria; Bacillati; Chloroflexota; Anaerolineae; Anaerolineales; Anaerolineaceae
Description: bacterial SSU rRNA
Rfam family: Bacterial small subunit ribosomal RNA
Source: RNAcentral